This 30-nucleotide non-coding RNA is filed under the name Homo sapiens (human). The record is from RNAcentral. Lineage: Eukaryota; Metazoa; Chordata; Mammalia; Primates; Hominidae.
UGGAUGCAUAUGAUAGCAUGGUUUACCUCA